Small nuclear RNA from Oryctolagus cuniculus (rabbit), 117 nucleotides. Its record names the gene U5. It matches the Rfam family "U5 spliceosomal RNA". From Rfam's summary of the family: U5 RNA is a component of both types of known spliceosome. The precise function of this molecule is unknown, though it is known that the 5' loop is required for splice site selection and p220 binding, and that both the 3' stem-loop and the Sm site are important for Sm protein binding and cap methylation. The record is from Ensembl. Lineage: Eukaryota; Metazoa; Chordata; Mammalia; Lagomorpha; Leporidae.
AUACUCUGGUUUCUCUUCGAAUCGUAUAGAUCUUUUAUCUUUUACUAAAAAUUUCCAUGGAAAGUCAACCAAGAGUGUACUAACAUUGAGUGAUGUAUUGGUAACUAGGCUUCAAAA